This is a long non-coding RNA of Peromyscus californicus insignis, 413 nucleotides long. RefSeq lists it as uncharacterized. The record is from RefSeq and is a predicted model, not a curated record. NCBI's taxonomy places the organism in Eukaryota, Metazoa, Chordata, Mammalia, Rodentia, Cricetidae. The transcript is spliced from 3 exons.
GAAUAAUACUCUACCUCUGGAUCCUAGAGGAUUAGAAUCCAACCUAUGCCUGGACACUGACAUGAAGAUGGAAGGUUCAAGACUCAGGAACAUUGAACCGUCCUCUCUCCUCAAUUAACAACCAAGACAAGCCCACCAGACAUGACUCCAGGUCAUUCCGACCUCGGCAAUCCCCCAGGAGCAAGGAUAUUCGGCAGACGUUCAUGUCCUUUCACUGACUGUUGAAAUAAGCAUCCCCUCUAGGUGUGGUGGCAUAUGCCUUCAAUUCCAUCACUGGAGAGGAAGAAGCAAGAAGAACUCUGUGAGUUUGAGGCCAGCCUGGUAUACUUAUCAAGUUCUAAAUCAGCCAGGGUUAUAUUGUAAGACCUUGUCUCAAAACAAGCAAGCAAGCAAACAAACAAACAAAAAACCAA